AGAGUUUGAUCACGGCUCAGAUUGAACGCUGGCGGCAGGCCUAACACAUGCAAGUCGAACGGUAACAGGAAGCAGCUUGCUGCUUCGCUGACGAGUGGCGGACGGGUGAGUAAUGUCUGGGAAGCUGCCUGAUGGAGGGGGAUAACUACUGGAAACGGUAGCUUAUACCGCAUAAUGUCGCAAGACCAAAGAGGGGGACCUUCGGGCCUCUUGCCAUCGGAUGUGCCCAGAUGGGAUUAGCUUGUUGGUGGGGUAACGGCUCACCAAGGCGACGAUCCCUAGCUGGUCUGAGAGGAUGACCAGCCACACUGGAGCUGAGACACGGUCCAGACUCCUACGGGAGGCAGCAGUGGGGAAUAUUGCACAAUGGGCGCAAGCCUGAUGCAGCCAUGCCGCGUGUAUGAAGAAGGCCUUCGGGUUGUAAAGUACUUUCAGCGGGGAGGAAGGGAGUAAAGUUAAUACCCUUGCUCAUUGACGUUACCCGCAGAAGAAGCACCGGCUAACUCCGUGCCAGCAGCCGCGGUAAUACGGAGGGUGCAAGCGUUAAUCGGAAUUACUGGGCGUAAAGCGCACGCAGGCGGUUUGUUAAGUCAGAUGUGAAAUCCCCGGGCUCAACCUGGGAACUGCAUCUGAUACUGGCAAGCUUGAGUCUCGUAGAGGGGGGUAGAAUUCCAGGUGUAGCGGUGAAAUGCGUAGAGAUCUGGAGGAAUACCGGUGGCGAAGGCGGCCCCCUGGACGAAGACUGACGCUCAGGUGCGAAAGCGUGGGGAGCAAACAGGAUUAGAUACCCUGGUAGUCCACGCCGUAAACGAUGUCGACUUGGAGGUUGUGCCCUUGAGGCGUGGCUUCCGGAGCUAACGCGUUAAGUCGACCGCCUGGGGAGUACGGCCGCAAGGUUAAAACUCAAAUGAAUUGACGGGGGCCCGCACAAGCGGUGGAGCAUGUGGUUUAAUUCGAUGCAACGCGAAGAACCUUACCUGGUCUUGACAUCCACGGAAGUUUUCAGAGAUGAGAAUGUGCCUUCGGGAACCGUGAGACAGGUGCUGCAUGGCUGUCGUCAGCUCGUGUUGUGAAAUGUUGGGUUAAGUCCCGCAACGAGCGCAACCCUUAUCCUUUGUUGCCAGCGGUCCGGCCGGGAACUCAAAGGAGACUGCCAGUGAUAAACUGGAGGAAGGUGGGGAUGACGUCAAGUCAUCAUGGCCCUUACGACCAGGGCUACACACGUGCUACAAUGGCGCAUACAAAGAGAAGCGACCUCGCGAGAGCAAGCGGACCUCAUAAAGUGCGUCGUAGUCCGGAUUGGAGUCUGCAACUCGACUCCAUGAAGUCGGAAUCGCUAGUAAUCGUGGAUCAGAAUGCCACGGUGAAUACGUUCCCGGGCCUUGUACACACCGCCGUCACACCAUGGGAGUGGGUUGCAAAAGAAGUAGGUAGCUUAACCUUCGGGAGGGCGCUUACCACUUUGUGAUUCAUGACUGGGGUGAAGUCGAAACAAGGUAACCGUAGGGGACCUGCGGUUG
RNAcentral lists this ribosomal RNA (1520 nucleotides) under metagenome. RNAcentral's name for it is "bacterial SSU rRNA". It matches the Rfam family "Bacterial small subunit ribosomal RNA". The record is from RNAcentral.